This 253-nucleotide ribosomal RNA is filed under the name uncultured archaeon. RNAcentral describes it as "partial 16S ribosomal RNA". It matches the Rfam family "Archaeal small subunit ribosomal RNA", at positions 474 to 726 of the family's 1478-position model. The record is from RNAcentral.
UCCCGGCGGUCCGAGUCGCAUCCACAUUUAUUGGGUCUAAAACAUCCGUAGCUUGUUUCAUAAGUCUCUUGUGAAAUCUCAUUUCUCAAACUUGAGGCGUGCAAGAGAUACUAUGUUGCUAGAGAUCGGAAGACGUAAAGAGAACGAUGGAGGUAGCGGUAAAAUGUGUUAAUCUUCGUCGGACUAACAAUGGCGAAGGCACUUUACGAGUACGAAUCUGACAGUGAGGGAUGAAGGCUAGGGGCGCAAAAGG